UGGGGAAUAUUGGACAAUGGGCGCAAGCCUGAUCCAGCCAUGCCGCGUGGGUGAAGAAGGCCCUAGGGUUGUAAAUCCCUUUCAGCGGGGAAGAUAAUGACGGUACCCGCAGAAGAAGCCCCGGCUAACUCCGUGCCAGCAGCCGCGGUAAUACGGAGGGUGCGAGCGUUAAUCGGAAUUACUGGGCGUAAAGCGCGCGUAGGCGGUUUGGUCAGUCGGAUGUGAAAGCCCAGGGCUUAACCUUGGAAUUGCAUUCGAUACUGCUUGACUAGAGUAUGGUAGAGGGAAGUGGAAUUUCCGGUGUAGCGGUGAAAUGCGUAGAUAUCGGAAGGAACACCAGUGGCGAAGGCGACUUCCUGGGCCAAUACUGACGCUGAGGUGCGAAAGCGUGGGGAGCAAACAGGAUUAGAUACCCGGGUAGUCC
RNAcentral lists this ribosomal RNA (424 nucleotides) under uncultured prokaryote. Its description in RNAcentral is "bacterial SSU rRNA". It matches the Rfam family "Bacterial small subunit ribosomal RNA", at positions 355 to 796 of the family's 1533-position model. The record is from RNAcentral.